GGAGGGUGCAAGCGUUAAUCGGAAUUACUGGGCGUAAAGAGCACGUAGGCGGCUUGGUCAGUCGGAUGUGAAAGCCCCGGGCUUAACCUGGGAAUUGCACUCGAUACUGCCAGGCUAGAGUUUAGUAGAGGAAUGCGGAAUUCCGGGUGUAGCGGUGAAAUGCGUAGAUAUCCGGAGGAACAUCAGUGGCGAAGGCGGCAUUCUGGGCUAAAACUGACGCUGAGGUGCGAAAGCGUGGGGAGCAAACAGGGAUUAGAUACCCUGGUAGUCCACGCCGUAAACGAUGUCAACUAGCCGUUGGGAUUUUUCUUAGUGGCGCAGCUAACGCGAUAAGUUGACCGCCUGGGGGAGUACGCCGGCAACGGUA
Molecule: ribosomal RNA, 367 nt
Filed under: uncultured organism
Description: partial 16S ribosomal RNA
Rfam family: Bacterial small subunit ribosomal RNA
Source: RNAcentral